Molecule: long non-coding RNA, 653 nt
Organism: Micropterus dolomieu (smallmouth bass)
Lineage: Eukaryota; Metazoa; Chordata; Actinopteri; Centrarchiformes; Centrarchidae
Exons: 5
Source: RefSeq, a predicted model, not a curated record
UUUUGGAUCGUGCAUCUGCAGUGGACAGAUGUAGAUUCAGCCACCUGAUGACCUCAUCUGUGACAAGCCCUCCCCUUCAGACACCGUUAGUGAUUCAGCAGCACUGCCUACAGGACACCUGUGAUUCCGCCGGUAUUUUAAGUCACCUGUUGUCCAGACCUCGUCAGCUGAAUAGCCUGUUGUGCUAAAGGUUCACCACAGAGAAGGCAGUGGUUAACGUUGAGUGGGCCUAAACAUCCGAUCCAUAAACGAGGUGGAGUCAGAGCUGGGUUGACUACUUACUGCAUUGUGUGAGGUGGAUGGGCCCCUGUGAAUGUGGUUGCCAACUGCCGUUUGUUUGGCUGUACGAUUUUCCUCAUCUUGUUGGCCUUCUUUAUUCCCCCCCUCUUGGUGUUCUGCUGGACGGACAGGGGGUUGGAUUGUGGGAACCCCUUUCCCCUUCAAUGCAUGUGAUGGUGGCUGUGCACCAGGGUGAGUGGUGGUGUCAAGGCACCUGGGUGGCUCACAGGUAACCCCCACCCAGCAGGUCUGGCUCCUGUAGAUGCUGAGGCGUCUAACGGUGUGCUUUUAUCCCUUAGCAUCUCCGGCAGUAUUGGCAUCCACAUCUUACUUGGUUUUAUUGUUGUGCAGCGAAUAAAAUUGCCCAAAGCCUG